Cebus imitator (Panamanian white-faced capuchin) is the source of this 559-nucleotide long non-coding RNA. RefSeq lists it as uncharacterized. The transcript is spliced from 2 exons. The record is from RefSeq and is a predicted model, not a curated record. NCBI's taxonomy places the organism in Eukaryota, Metazoa, Chordata, Mammalia, Primates, Cebidae.
AUAGCUGGUACUAGGACCAUAUUUGCAAACCACUGCACUAACUUAUUAUGUGUUUUGGUUGGUUUUUGAGUCUCCAGCUUCCCCUCUCAACUCCCAGCCACUUUACGGAACACCCUCAGUGCCCAGGGGUCUCUUGUCCUUAGCCCUGGUUCUCCCUGGGCUGACUAGAGACUUUGCAAUGUGCCAGUAAGAGGAUAUAUAUGAGAUCCUUACUCAUGUGCUUGUCUCUUGUGAAGCUAAUCACACUGGACUUUUAAGCCCAUUCUUCCUGACAUCCAGUCAUUGACUCUGAAUUAGCUGAGGCAUGAGAACUUCACUGCAGGAAGAUCCUGCCCCUUGCUUGCUCCUAAACGUGCCUUUAAAGUUCAAUUUGACCAACCCACCAUUGCAAGCGCUCUAGAGGAGAAGACAGCCUUGCUGUGUCCAAUCCACUUUAGUUUAUACAUUUCUUGUCAGUCACAUUUAUGCUCCCACUGAAUAGGACAGUGUGAACCAUGGAUUAAGUAUGCAAUAAAUGGUUGUUGAAUAAAUCAGAUAAUUAAAUGCAUUCUGCACAGAA